GGUUUCCAAGUUAAAUGCAGAUACAAUUUCAAAAAUGAGUAUGGCGCCUGUGAUGACCUCUAUGGCUAUUUCGGUGGUCCAUAUGGUUUAAGAAAUCACUUAAUCAUGCGUCAUCAUACGUUUAUUGGGUAUGAUCCAUGUGUGCACGUUUUGAAAGAUGAUUGGUUCAAUAAAUACAGUGAGGUUGUACUUGAAUUCUACCUAGAAGAUAUUAAUGACCAUCCUGUACCAGUCAAUGUGGUACAAUGUGGGGUACGGAUGUUAUAUGCACAAGAGGAGAGUUUCUGUCGAUGUCGUUCCAUUACUCAGGAUAGAAUAUACAGGUUUGGCUCUCGAAAUCGUUUAUGGCGGUGUUUCGAUUUGGAUUGAUCAGGAUGAUUCUGACGCUUUUAUCUCUGAAAUAAUUAGCGAAGAAAUUCUACGCUAUGAAGGCGAUGAAUGCUGAGCAUGAGAAAUGCUGACACAGCAGCUUUUGAGAGAGGGAGAUUCUAGAGUGACCAAGUGAAUUCUCUGUAGGUAACCACUUCCUAUUUUGUGAUAAAUAAAAUAAAGUGAAAACAAACUAUAUUAUGAAUUGGAAUCAAAUUACUUCUCCAUGGACGUUACGUAUUGGUUUACUGGAUGUCUCUGUAUUCUAGCGUUUUGCAGAUUAAUUCAAAUUUUGUAAAUAAUUAUAAUAAGUGGGUAAUAACAUCAAUUGCAGCUAUGUAGUUGAUUUCAAAGAAAUGGUUA
RNAcentral lists this unclassified non-coding RNA (732 nucleotides) under Hevea brasiliensis (rubber tree). Lineage: Eukaryota; Viridiplantae; Streptophyta; Magnoliopsida; Malpighiales; Euphorbiaceae. The record is from RNAcentral.